CACACGCCCCACCUCUUUCGCCCCUUUCACCGUACCGCCCCCCUGUCAUAAUCGCCCUACUCGCCGACUCACCUACCCGUAUCUGCAACUCGUAGAAUCCGCCGCCAGUCACCCUUCGUGAAGUUGAGAUUUUGAAUUUUACGGUUUGCGAUUCAAAGUAAUUUCAUCACAUGCCCUGCAAUUAGCCUUUGAUUCGGGUUGCUGUUUGUAAUUGAAGAAGAUAACCAUGCUAUGCGAGCUGCUAGCGAGUCAUGCUCCCAUGUGUUUCUUUAGUUUCAGAAUGUUAGUUGUCAGACAACUAAGGGGUUUCUUCAGUUGAAUUUCUAGAUGUAGAGAAAGACCAGACGCUGGUACAGUACUUUGCAGAGCUCAUACGCACAAGCAUAAACAAGCUGGAGGAGGAGGAAUUUUGAGAUAACAUAGAUUUUUACUAGGAAGUGUAAUUGAUCUACAUCUUCUUUGGUCUUUGAAACUUUUGUGUAUAUAGUUUGAAAUUUUCUUGUUACUUGUUAGAGAACAUAUUGAUUGAAAUAUUAUAACGUAGUUGUAUUUUUGGAAUCUUCUAACAUUAUAUUGAUAUGCAUGUGAUUUUGUA
This is a long non-coding RNA of Beta vulgaris subsp. vulgaris (sugar beet), 595 nucleotides long. RefSeq lists it as uncharacterized. The transcript is spliced from 4 exons. The record is from RefSeq and is a predicted model, not a curated record. NCBI's taxonomy places the organism in Eukaryota, Viridiplantae, Streptophyta, Magnoliopsida, Caryophyllales, Amaranthaceae.